Molecule: ribosomal RNA, 466 nt
Filed under: uncultured bacterium
Lineage: Bacteria
Description: partial 16S ribosomal RNA
Rfam family: Bacterial small subunit ribosomal RNA
Source: RNAcentral
GAUGAACGCUGGCGGCGUGCUUAACACAUGCAAGUCGAACGAUGAAGCGCAGCUUGCUGGGUGGUUUAGUGGCGAACGGGUGAGUAAGACGUGAGUAACCUGCCCUUAACUCUGGGAUAGGCCUGGGAAACAGGGUGUAAUACCGGCCAGGAGCUGCCACCAAAUGGAGGGUGGUGGAAAGAUUUAUCGGUUUUGGGUGGACUCGAGGCCUAUCCGCUUGGGGGUGAGGGAAUGGCUCACCAAGGCGAUGACGGGUAGCCGGCCUGAGAGGGUGACCGGCCACCCUGGGACUGCGACACGGACCAGAAUCCUACGGGCGGCAGCAGUCGGGAAUCUUGCAGAAUGGGCGCACGCCUGAUGCAGCGACGCCGCGUGCGUGAUGCCCUCCUUCGGGUUGUAAACCUCUUUCAGUAUGGAAGAAGCCAAAGUGACGGUACCUGCAGAAGAAGCCCCGGCUAACUACGUG